UUGGCUUAGAAGCAGCCAUCAUUUAAAGAAAGCGUAAUAGCUCACUGGUCGAGUCGGCCUGCGCGGAAGAUGUAACGGGGCUAAACCAUGCACCGAAGCUGCGGCAGCGACACUGUGUGUUGUUGGGUAGGGGAGCGUUCUGUAAGCCUGUGAAGGUGUGUCGUGAGGCAUGCUGGAGGUAUCAGAAGUGCGAAUGCUGACAUAAGUAACGAUAAAGCGGGUGAAAAGCCCGCUCGCCGGAAGACCAAGGGUUCCUGUCCAACGUUAAUCGGGGCAGGGUGAGUCGACCCCUAAGGCGAGGCCGAAAGGCGUAGUCGAUGGGAAACGGGUUAAUAUUCCCGUACUUGGUGUUACUGCGAAGGGGGGACGGAGAAGGCUAUGUUGGCCGGGCGACGGUUGUCCCGGUUUAAGCGUGUAGGUGUGUGUUCCAGGUAAAUCCGGUUCACUUUAACACUGAGGCGUGACGACGAGGCACUACGGUGCUGAAGCAACAAAUGCCCUGCUUCCAGGAAAAGCCUCUAAGCAUCAGGUAACAUCAAAUCGUACCCCAAACCGACACAGGUGGUCAGGUAGAGAAUACCAAGGCGCUUGAGAGAACUCGGGUGAAGGAACUAGGCAAAAUGGUGCCGUAACUUCGGGAGAAGGCACGCUGACACGUAGGUGAAGUGAUUUACUCAUGGAGCUGAAGUCAGUCGAAGAUACCAGCUGGCUGCAACUGUUUAUUAAAAACACAGCACUGUGCAAACACGAAAGUGGACGUAUACGGUGUGACGCCUGCCCGGUGCCGGAAGGUUAAUUGAUGGGGUCAGCGCAAGCGAAGCUCCUGAUCGAAGCCCCGGUAAACGGCGGCCGUAACUAUAACGGUCCUAAGGUAGCGAAAUUCCUUGUCGGGUAAGUUCCGACCUGCACGAAUGGCGUAAUGAUGGCCAGGCUGUCUCCACCCGAGACUCAGUGAAAUUGAACUCGCUGUGAAGAUGCAGUGUACCCGCGGCAAGACGGAAAGACCCCGUGAACCUUUACUAUAGCUUGACACUGAACAUUGAGCCUUGAUGUGUAGGAUAGGUGGGAGGCUUUGAAGUGUGGACGCCAGUCUGCAUGGAGCCGACCUUGAAAUACCACCCUUUAAUGUUUGAUGUUCUAACGUGGACCCGUUACCCGGGUUGCGGACAGUGUCUGGUGGGUAGUUUGACUGGGGCGGUCUCCUCC
RNAcentral lists this ribosomal RNA (1206 nucleotides) under Salmonella enterica. RNAcentral's name for it is "partial 23S ribosomal RNA". It matches the Rfam family "Bacterial large subunit ribosomal RNA", at positions 1101 to 2290 of the family's 2925-position model. Lineage: Bacteria; Pseudomonadati; Pseudomonadota; Gammaproteobacteria; Enterobacterales; Enterobacteriaceae. The record is from RNAcentral. RNAcentral also lists the same sequence under 1 other name.